AAGGAACUCUUAAAAACCUCUGAAAUCUUUAAAGGUAGACUCAACCUAAGAGUUUUCCCGGAAACUCUAUAAAACCAAACUAGAGCUUUAUGGUUGAGCUCACAAACCUUCUCUAACACUUUGGUACUAUUGAGACAACUCUCUCAACCAAAGUGGACACACACAAGAGGUGAUUAGAAGAGUGGAAUAUUAAAGCAAACAACACUUCUUACUUGUAAAGAUGAACAAGAAGAUUAGAAGAAGAAGUUGGAGAGCUUUUGAAGCUUUGGAAAGCUAGGACACUUGAGCACUUGAAAGCUUGGAAGCUUGAAGGCAAAAACGUGUGGGCAAGUGUAGAGUGAAAGCUCUUGAGUUUGCUUGUAGUGUGGUAAGUGAAAAUGAGGGGAUUACCUUUCUAUUUAUAGCCUUGGCCACUCAAUGUCCAUCCUUGGAUCUUCAAUGGAUGGCUCCUUGAUUUCUCACAUAAAUCCAAGCUUUGUCUUUGAAUAGUGUUUUCCUUGGAUAGUGUAGUUUUGUCCCCUUGUUGGAGAAUCUUAUCUUUGUUGGAGAAUAUUAUUUUUGUAUAAAUUCAAACUUGAAUAGUGUUUUGUCCCCUUGGAAUAUUAUACCUUGAAUAAAGUGUCAAAAGAUAAUAAUAAUAAUAUUCAAGGUAAAAAUACAAUUAUUCCAAAUAAUAAUAUUCAAGGUGAAAAUGCAAUUAUUCCAAAUAAUAAUAUUCAAGGUGAAAAUGCAAUUCUCCCAAUUUGACUUUUAACUUUGACUUAAACCCUUAACUCAAAUGAUUAAUUAAUUAAUUGGAGUUAGGUUUAAUAUCGAUUGACUUAUUUAACCCUUAUUGAUUAAUAGUGUAAUUAGGGUUUAAAUUGACAUGAUUAAAAUAUAAUCCUAUGUCGACAAUUUUGAUUCUACAUUCUCCCCCUUUGUCGAUGGCAUAUAUGUUUUAACUCAUGUCUAGUCAAUAUUCUAUUUUACCCUUAUGAGCAUGCUCCCCCUGAAUUAUUGACCCAUAAUAUUCAAUUUAAAAGCAGUGGAUCAUGCAUGAUUUCUCCCCCUUAAAACAAUAAGGUAUCGACAAAGUUAAAAUAGAUACCUGUGAAGUAUCUCCCCCUUAAUGAUAGGACAUAUCUAAUUUGUGGAGAAAAUAAAAUUUCAUACCUCAUUGAGCUUUAAUCACAAAUUCGAUUUGUGUGGUUGACCAAAUGUGACGUCUUGCUUAUAAGAGUGUUAGUCAAUCAUAUAGGAGAAAUAAUAUGUAAUUUAUGCUCAUUGAUAAAAUAUUGGAUUGAAGCCAAUUUUGAUAUACAUUAUAAGGCAAGUAUGAUAUGAUAAUUUAGAUUGCCUUGUGCUAAGAUCAUGCAAUGAAUAAUAAUCCAUGUGUGUGUUAUGGAUGAAGAUGAUCUUAACAUGUAUGGAUUAAAGAUUUUAUAAUGUUAUAAUCCAUAGGAUAUUAGUGAAUGAUAUGUAUAAAUCCAUAAUAUUCACUAAUUGCUUUAAGGAGAAAUUGAG
This 1506-nucleotide long non-coding RNA is filed under the name Zostera marina. Its description in RNAcentral is "long non-coding RNA (ZMAR_LNC002480)". Lineage: Eukaryota; Viridiplantae; Streptophyta; Magnoliopsida; Alismatales; Zosteraceae. The record is from RNAcentral.